RNAcentral lists this ribosomal RNA (429 nucleotides) under uncultured bacterium. Its description in RNAcentral is "bacterial SSU rRNA". It matches the Rfam family "Bacterial small subunit ribosomal RNA", at positions 917 to 1341 of the family's 1533-position model. The record is from RNAcentral.
GGGCUCACACAAGCGGUGGAGCAUGUGGCUUAAUUCGAGGCAACGCGAAGAACCUUAUCCUGGGUUUGACAUGUACGGAUGGCUCGCCUGAAAGGGAUGAGUCUGCCUUCGGGUGAAACGUACACAGGUGCUGCAUGGCUGUCGUCAGCUCGUGUCGUGAGAUGUAGGGUUAAGUCCCAUAACGAGCGCAACCCCUAUUUCUAGUUGCCAGCGGUUCGGCCGGGGACUCUAGAAAAACUGCCAGCGUAAGCUGUGAGGAAGGUGGGGAUGACGUCAAAUCAUCACGGCCCUUACGUCCUGGGCUACACACGUGCUACAAUGGUAGGGACAGAGAGUUGCCAACCCGCGAGGGUGAGCUAAUCUUCAAACCCUAUCUCAGUUCGGAUCGGAGUCUGCAACUCGACUCCGUGAAGUUGGAAUCGCUAGUAA